Molecule: ribosomal RNA, 435 nt
Filed under: uncultured bacterium
Lineage: Bacteria
Description: bacterial SSU rRNA
Rfam family: Bacterial small subunit ribosomal RNA
Source: RNAcentral
GAGACCGGCGCACGGGUGCGUAACGCGUAUGCAAUCUACCUUUCACAGAGGGAUAGCCCAGAGAAAUUUGGAUUAAUACCUCAUAGUAUAGCAGUUUCGCAUGAGACCACUAUUAAAGAUUUAUCGGUGAAAGAUGAGCAUGCGUCCCAUUAGUUAGUUGGUAAGGUAACGGCUUACCAAGACUACGAUGGGUAGGGGUCCUGAGAGGGAGAUCCCCCACACUGGUACUGAGACACGGACCAGACUCCUACGGGAGGCAGCAGUGAGGAAUAUUGGACAAUGGGCGCAAGCCUGAUCCAGCCAUGCCGCGUGCAGGAUGACGGUCCUAUGGAUUGUAAACUGCUUUUAUACGAGAAGAAACACUCCGACGUGUCGGAGCUUGACGGUAUCGUAAGAAUAAGGAUCGGCUAACUCCGUGCCAGCAGCCGCGGUAAU